AGAUGUGUAUAAGAGACAGGUGAGAAGAGAAUAAAGUCCCAGGUCCCUUGAAAAGCCGUACGAAGAGACCGUACCGAGAACUGAAACAGGUGUUUUAGGGUGAGUAGCCUAAGGCGUAUCGGAUACAAGUAUCGCGAGGGAACUCGGCAAAAUAGCUCCGUAACUUCGGGAGAAGGAGUGCCAGAUUGGGAACAAUCUGGUCGCAGUGACUAGGGAGCUCCGACUGUUUAAUAAAAACAUAGGGGACUGCCAGAUCGAAAGGUUGUGUAUAGUCCCUGAAUCCUGCUCAGUGCUGGUAUCUUAAAUCGGGUUUCAACCUGACGAAGGACCAGUAAACAGCGGGGGUAACUAUGACCCUCUUAAGGUAGCGUAAUACCUUGUCGCUUAAUUGGCGACUUGCAUGAAUGGUCCAACGAGGGCUCCACUGUCCCCGCGAUACGUCCGGCGAAAUUGACUUUACUGGCGCACAGUCCAGUACAUUCUACCCGCAAGCGAAGACCCCGUAGAGCUUUACUGCAGCCUGUCGUUGCAUAGUCGCUUUCCAUGUACUGUGUAGGUGGGAGACGUUGAUCCCUGGGACGCCAGUCCCGGGAGUAGUUGAAAGGAGAGACACCACCCUUGGAGAGUAACUAUGCUAACUGUUAAUCAGAACACCGAUUGGUGGGCAGUUUGGGUGGGGCGCCACGCGCUCGAAAACCUAACAAGCGUGCCCAAUGGUCAGCUUAAGUGGUUCAGCACUCCACUGUUAACUGUAAGGGGAAAAGCUGGCUUGACGUGGAUCCGCACAAUAAGGAUCGACGAUGCGAAAGCAGGGCCUAACGAACCUACCAGGCUUAUAUUUGAGGCCGGUAGAUAACAGAAAAGUUACCUCGGGGAUAAUUGAGUUGUCACCAGCAAGAGCUCACAUCGACCUGGUGGCUUGCUACUUCGAUGUCGUCUCUUCCUAUCCUGGGUCUGCAGCAGGACCCAAGGGUGGGGUUGUUCGCCCAUUAAAAGGGAUCGUGAGAUGGGUUUAGACCGUCGUGAGACAGGUUUGUUGCUUGGUGGUAGAAUCGCAUAAGGUGUUUGAUGGAAGGGGCCCUUUAGUACGAGAGGAACGAGGGCUCGGGGCCACUAGUUUACCAGUUGUCUGGCAAGGCAAUGCUGGGUAGCCACGCCCUGAUGGAUAAGAGCUGAAAGCAUCUAAGCUCGAAGCCACCCCAAAGACGAGACACCUCAGAACACUCGUAAAAGACGAGAUUAAUAGAAUGCGGAUGUAAGUAUGAAGCUUCGGCGACGUAUUCAGUCCAGCAUCACUAACGUUCGAGCAUCUUUUUU
Molecule: ribosomal RNA, 1317 nt
Filed under: seawater metagenome
Description: bacterial LSU rRNA
Rfam family: Archaeal large subunit ribosomal RNA
Source: RNAcentral